Molecule: ribosomal RNA, 494 nt
Filed under: uncultured bacterium
Lineage: Bacteria
Description: partial 16S ribosomal RNA
Rfam family: Bacterial small subunit ribosomal RNA
Source: RNAcentral
GACGAACGCUGGCGGCGUGCCUAAUACAUGCAAGUAGGACGCUGAAGGAGGAGCUUGCUUCUCUGGAUGAGUUGCGAACGGGUGAGUAACGCGUAGGUAACCUGCCUGGUAGCGGGGGAUAACUAUUGGAAACGAUAGCUAAUACCGCAUAAGAGUAGAUGUUGCAUGACAUUUGUUUAAAAGGUGCAAUUGCAUCACUACCAGAUGGACCUGCGUUGUAUUAGCUAGUUGGUGGGGUAACGGCUCACCAAGGCGACGAUACAUAGCCGACCUGAGAGGGCGAUCGGCCACACUGGGACUGAGACACGGCCCAGACUCCUACGGGAGGCAGCAGUAGGGAAUCUUCGGCAAUGGACGGAGGUCUGACCGAGCAACGCCGCGUGAGUGAAGAAGGUUUUCGGAUCGUAAAGCUCUGUUGUAAGAGAAGAACGAGUGUGAGAGUGGAAAGUUCACACUGUGGCGGUAUCGUACAAGAAAGGGACGGCUAACUACGU